AUGGGCGGCGGCAACGCGCAGAAGUCCAAGAUGGCGAGGGAGAGGAACCUCGAGAAGCUGAAGGGCGGCAAGGGGAGCCAGCUCGAGGCCAACAAGAAGGCCAUGAACAUCCAGACGAAACUGUUAUCUGUGGAAUUUGUUGAAAUUACGCCUUUAACUGGGACGGGAUGCGUGCCUCUUCAGUUGCAACGACGAUUGGUAGCCUAUUUCUCGAUAGGACUCUGGGUGGAUGGUUUUUUCUUUUUUGUGCGGCGAUUAUCGUGCAAGAUAUGCAUGCAGACUUUCAUCUGCACCACCUCUGAAGCAAAGUGCAAGGAGCAUGCCGAGGCAAAGCAUCCGAAGAGCGAGCUCGUCCAGUGCUUCCCUCACCUCAAGCAGUGA
Molecule: ribosomal RNA, 381 nt
Filed under: Triticum aestivum (bread wheat)
Lineage: Eukaryota; Viridiplantae; Streptophyta; Magnoliopsida; Poales; Poaceae
Description: partial small subunit ribosomal RNA
Source: RNAcentral